CCUACGGGUGACAGCAGUAGGGAAUAUUGGUCAAUGGAGGAAACUCUGACGCAGCAACGCCGCGUGAAUGAUGAAGGUUUUCGGAUUGUAAACUCCUUUUGUUAGAGAUGAUCACGACGGUAUUAAACGAAUAGGCACCGGCUAACUCCGUGCCAGCAGCCGCGGCAAUACUGAGGGGGCAAGCGUUACUCGGAGUCACUGGGCGUAAAGAGCGCGGAGGCGGGAUAGCAAGUCAGAUGUGAAAUCCUAUGGCUUAACCACAGAACUGCAUUUGAAACUGUUAUUCUAGAGUAUGGGAGAGGUAGGUGGAAUUCUUGGUGUAGGGGUAAAAUCCGUAGAGAUCAAGAGGAAUACUCAUUGCGAAGGCGACCUGCUAGAACAUAACUGACGCUGAGGCGCGAAAGCGUGGGGAGCAAACAGGAUUAGAUACCCUGGUAGUC
RNAcentral lists this ribosomal RNA (440 nucleotides) under uncultured bacterium. RNAcentral's name for it is "partial 16S ribosomal RNA". It matches the Rfam family "Bacterial small subunit ribosomal RNA", at positions 338 to 795 of the family's 1533-position model. The record is from RNAcentral.